RNAcentral lists this ribosomal RNA (443 nucleotides) under uncultured bacterium. Its description in RNAcentral is "partial 16S ribosomal RNA". It matches the Rfam family "Bacterial small subunit ribosomal RNA", at positions 338 to 795 of the family's 1533-position model. The record is from RNAcentral.
CCUACGGGUGGCAGCAGUGGGGAAUAUUGGGCAAUGGAGGCAACUCUGACCCAGCAACGCCGCGUGAAUGAUGAAGGUCUUCGGAUUGUACAGUUCUUUUCUGAGGGACGAAGAAAGUGACGGUACCUCAGGAAUAAGCCACGGCUAACUACGUGCCAGCAGCCGCGGUAAUACGUAGGGGGCAAGCGUUAUCCGGAUUUAUUGGGUGUAAAGGGCGUGUAGGCGGGAAAGCAAGUCAGAUGUGAAAACUCAGGGCUCAACCCUGAGCCUGCAUUUGAAACUGUUUUUCUUGAGUGCUGGAGAGGCAAUCGGAAUUCCGUGUGUAGCGGUGAAAUGCGUAGAUAUACGGAGGAACACCAGUGGCGAAGGCGGAUUGCUGGACAGUAACUGACGCUGAGGCGCGAAAGCGUGGGGAGCAAACAGGAUUAGAUACCCCAGUAGUC